This 203-nucleotide long non-coding RNA is filed under the name Physcomitrium patens. Its description in RNAcentral is "long non-coding RNA (PPAT_LNC011642)". Lineage: Eukaryota; Viridiplantae; Streptophyta; Bryopsida; Funariales; Funariaceae. The record is from RNAcentral.
AAGCUUGGUGCUAUCUCUUCUUCUUAUUUUUCUUGUUUCUUUUGUGUUAGUGUUGAUUCUAGUGAAGAGAAUCGAUUUAACGAAUUAAUGUUUGAUUUACAAAGUUAUUUAUGGAUCACUGUUUAUCAAUUGUUGUGAAAGAUUGAGGACAUAUGGAAGUUUCUAGUCAGUGUUUAUCGCAAGGUUGUAAGUUUAGUGGAGAG